RNAcentral lists this ribosomal RNA (773 nucleotides) under uncultured bacterium. RNAcentral describes it as "bacterial SSU rRNA". It matches the Rfam family "Bacterial small subunit ribosomal RNA", at positions 8 to 796 of the family's 1533-position model. The record is from RNAcentral.
AGAGUUUGAUCAUGGCUCAGGACGAACGCUGGCGGCGUGCUUAACACAUGCAAGUCGAACGGAAAGCGCUCUUCGGAGUGACUCGAGUGGCGAACGGGUGAGUAACACGUGGGUGAUCUGCCCUGCACUUUGGGAUAAGCCUGGGAAACUGGGUCUAAUACCGGAUAGGACUACGGCCCGCAUGGGUUGUGGUGGAAAGCUUUUGCGGUGUGGGAUGGGCCCGCGGCCUAUCAGCUUGUUGGUGGGGUGAUGGCCUACCAAGGCGACGACGGGUAGCCGGCCUGAGAGGGUGUCCGGCCACACUGGGACUGAGAUACGGCCCAGACUCCUACGGGAGGCAGCAGUGGGGAAUAUUGCACAAUGGGCGCAAGCCUGAUGCAGCGACGCCGCGUGAGGGAUGACGGCCUUCGGGUUGUAAACCUCUUUCAGCACAGACGAAGCGCAAGUGACGGUAUGUGCAGAAGAAGCACCGGCCAACUACGUGCCAGCAGCCGCGGUAAUACGUAGGGUGCGAGCGUUGUCCGGAAUUACUGGGCGUAAAGAGCUCGUAGGUGGUUUGUCGCGUUGUUCGUGAAAACUCACAGCUUAACUGUGGGCGUGCGGGCGAUACGGGCAGACUGGAGUACUGCAGGGGAGACUGGAAUUCCUGGUGUAGCGGUGGAAUGCGCAGAUAUCAGGAGGAACACCGGUGGCGAAGGCGGGUCUCUGGGCAGUAACUGACGCUGAGGAGCGAAAGCGUGGGGAGCGAACAGGAUUAGAUACCCUAGUAGUCC